AUACAUGAGGGCGAUCUGGCUACAACAUUUGUCACCCACUGAUCAUCAGGGUUGAUUCAGCGGAUCUGCCUGGCGAGGGAGGUAUCCCCUUCCUCUCUCCUUGCUAGGUGUACAAUCCUCCCGAGAAGCUUCACACUUGGUCGGCCUUCCCCAGUAGAGGAGGGCAUGUCCCUGGUCAAAGGUACACAAGUAGCUGCACUUCCCUGCUAGAACCUCCAAACAAGCUCUCAAAUAACAGGCUAUCAUUUUACCGUAUGGUUUAAAUUUUUCUCCAAUGAACUCUUUACUAAAACUUUUAAUACAAUGAGUUUC
RNAcentral lists this small nuclear RNA (312 nucleotides) under Heterocephalus glaber (naked mole-rat). Its description in RNAcentral is "7SK RNA". It matches the Rfam family "7SK RNA". Rfam says of the family: 7SK was discovered as an abundant small nuclear RNA in the mid-70s but a possible function has only recently been suggested. Two independent studies have found that 7SK RNA binds the CDK9/cyclin T complex (known as elongation factor P-TEFb). P-TEFb activates transcription by phosphorylating the C-terminal domain of RNA polymerase II. The record is from Rfam by way of RNAcentral. Lineage: Eukaryota; Metazoa; Chordata; Mammalia; Rodentia; Bathyergidae.